CUUGUACAGACAGUUUAUUAUGCCAGUGUAAGAUGAGGGAGGGGAUUGAGGAGUCCUGGGGAGGGGUGACUUCCGGUUGAUUUCACUCGGAUGAACUCAUGCAACUGGAUAAGUCCAAAUGGAAAACAGAGUCAUCACAUCAUCCAUCACUGCGUUACUGUGGCCGAGGGAGAUCUUUAUUUCCCACUCCCACACAUAGGAAGCCUUCAUCCAAGCGGAAAACAGCAUCCUACACAUAACCAAUCUUCCACAUAAAGAAAUGGAUCACUCUGCAUUUUACCGAAUUAAGCACAAUAGUAUGUUAGCUAAUCGGGAAUCAUUCCUCACCUGAUUUGAACUGGUUAUAAAUUCCCUAUAAGAAAGGCAGAGCAGAUUCAUGAUUAGCUCAUCACUUAGAAAAUACGCAUCAAAUCUAAGACGUUGUCAGCAGUGGUUUCAUAAAGGGGGGGGGGGGUGGAUUCCAAGCGCCAUAAAGAAUUUGGAAUAUAAUUGGAUUGGUCUGGUUGGGGGAUAGAUUUGAUAUGCCUUCAUGGUGCCCAAAGUCUGUAGCAGUACACCUGGAUGUCAGGAACAUCCAGAUUGGACAUGGAGAGGGAGGAGAACGACAAGCCUGGGAAUCUGUAACGACUCCAGAGUCCCUCGCUGCAUCAGAAAGGACAGACAAGGGCCAGCACACUGCAGCACAUGGGCCAUUUGUCAGCGAUGCGUCCAGAGAAGCCGGGGAAAGGCUGGAUGCUGGAACAGGUUCCCUGGAGGCGACAGCUGUCACUACCCAUGCCGAAGUGUCACUCUCCAUGCUGGCUUAACAUGACGGAGCAAAAUUGCAUCAUUUAUGGAGAUGCUUUUAUAUUAAAAGGGGCAAAAUAUAUUUUAUAUAUGGCUAUGAGAACUGUGGAGAAAUGUUACCAAUCAGGAGCAGGCAAUACAAAGCAUUAAUAUUCUUCCAUAAUCAAUCACAUUCUUCCAUAAUCUUUGUUGUGGUGAGACUUUCAGGAAGCACAGGGCACCUUGGAAAGGAAGUCAGUCUGUCACAGAUCACACAUACACACACGUACUAUGGGCAAUUUAGAGUCACCUGUUCAGCUAAUCAUACGGCUUUGGACCACUGGAGGAGACGGGAGUAACCAGACGAAAGAGCUGCAGCGUGGGAAGGACAAGCAAAAGCGAACCUGGGAUUUGACUGCAGGUCUGAGUUUACUGAGUUUAUAUAUAGAAUUUCAGGAGACUGUUAAGAAAUCCAGCCAAAGCACACAGUAAAUCCGAGGAUGGAGGGGAGGCGGAGGUGGUUACUCCUGCUGGCUGCCAGUGGAGCUCCUUAAGCGCCGCCCUGCGUGUGACCCCAGCAGACCACGGCACCUCUUCAUUUUGGAUUUGUCCCCAUGGAAUUCUGGAGGAAGAAACCAGCAUUUUUUUGGAACUGUAUCCACCAUAUGUUAAUUCCUAAUUACUUCAUUUAUUAAAUAUGAUCGCUGGCUGCAUUCUGAAGGUGGAGGCUUACAUGAAAUCCUGAAAGACCUUUGAUCAAAUGCUUUUAUGAAUCUAGCUGAGCUGAGCUGAGUGCUGUGGUCACACAUCCUACUCCAGGGCAGACAAACGUAACCCUGAUAUCUAUUGAUUCAAAGCUCAUCAAAGUCUACAUCUAAAAAAUCAUUUGCACAGUUACACUUUGUCACAGGUGACUUCAUUUCUCACAACUGAAACCCCAGAGUUACAUUAUUAUGUCAUAUCAUAAAAUGAGGUUACAUGAAAUAUUUAACACAAUUAUCUAGGCAUAUAUGACUUUUUAGUUAAAAGAUUUUAUUUUAGAGUUACAUUUUAAAUGUCGUUAUCCAUCUAUAA
This is a long non-coding RNA of Paramormyrops kingsleyae, 1839 nucleotides long. RefSeq lists it as uncharacterized. NCBI's taxonomy places the organism in Eukaryota, Metazoa, Chordata, Actinopteri, Osteoglossiformes, Mormyridae. The record is from RefSeq and is a predicted model, not a curated record.